This 465-nucleotide ribosomal RNA is filed under the name uncultured bacterium. RNAcentral describes it as "bacterial SSU rRNA". It matches the Rfam family "Bacterial small subunit ribosomal RNA", at positions 25 to 507 of the family's 1533-position model. The record is from RNAcentral.
CAGGACGAACGCUGGCGGCGUGCCUAACACAUGCAAGUCGAACGGGGUAAUCCUUCGGGAUUACUUAGUGGCGAACGGGUGAGUAACGCGUGAGGAACCUACCUUUCAGUGGGGGACAACAGUUGGAAACGACUGCUAAUACCGCAUAACAUGUACGGACCGCAUGGUCUGUACAUCAAAGCUUUAUGUGCUGAAAGAUGGCCUCGCGUCUGAUUAGCUAGUUGGUGAGGUAACGGCCCACCAAGGCGACGAUCAGUAGCCGGACUGAGAGGUUGAACGGCCACAUUGGGACUGAGAUACGGCCCAGACUCCUACGGGAGGCAGCAGUGGGGAAUAUUGGGCAAUGGGCGAAAGCCUGACCCAGCAACGCCGCGUGAAGGAAGAAGGUCUUCGGAUUGUAAACUUCUUUUAUGAGGGACGAAGAAAGUGACGGUACCUCAUGAAUAAGCCACGGCUAACUACGUG